UCCGCAAUGCGUGCAAGCGCGACGGAGUGACCCCCAGUGCCGAUGGUCUAACGAUCGUCGGCUUUUCUGGAGUGUAAAAAGCUCUGGGUAAUAAGGGCCGGGUAAGACUGGUGCCAGCCGCCGCGGUAACACCAGCGGCUCAAGUGGUAGUCGAUUUUAUUGGGUCUAAAGCGUCCGUAGCCGGAUCGUCAAGUCCCUUGUGAAAUCGGGCGGCUUAACCGCUCGGCUUGCAAGAGAAACUGACGUUCUUGGGGUCGGCAGGCGCCGAGGGUACUCCGGAGGUAGCGGUGAAAUGCUAUAAUCUUCGGGGGACCGCCGGUGGCGAAAGCGCUCGGCGGGGCCGAACCCGACGGUGAGGGACGAAGGCCAGGGGAGCGAACCGGAUUAGAUACCCGGGUAGUCCUGGCUGUAAAGUAUGUGGGCCAGGUGCCAGACGUUCCUCGAGAGCGCUUGGUGCCGAAGGGAAGCCGUUAAGCCCACCACCUGGGGAGUACGGUCGCAAGACUGAAACUUAAAGAAAUUGGCGGGGGAGCACCACAAGGGGUGGAGCCUGCGGUUUAAUUGGAUUCAACGCCGGACAUCUCACCGGGGGCGACGGCAGAGUGAAGGCCAAGUUGACGACUUUGCCGGACUCGCCGAGAGGUGGUGCAUGGCCGCCGUCAGCUCGUAUCGUGAGACGUCCUGUCAAGUCAGGUAACGAGCGAGACCCUUAUCCUUAGUUGCCAGCGGAUCCCUCUGGGAUGCCGGGCACUCUAAGGAGACCGCUGUCGAUAAGGCAGAGGAAGGAGAGGGCGACGGUAGGUCCGUAUGCCCCGAAUCCCCCGGGCAACACGCGGGCUACAAUGCGCGGGACAGAGGGCUGCGACCCCGAGAGGGGAAGCCGAUCCCUAAACCUGCGCCUAGUUCGGAUCGAGGGCUGCAACUCGCCCUCGUGAAGCUGGAAUCCCUAGUAAUCGCGUGUCACUAUCGCGCGGUGAAUACGUCCCUGCUCCUUGCACACACCAAGC
Molecule: ribosomal RNA, 1007 nt
Filed under: uncultured archaeon
Lineage: Archaea
Description: bacterial SSU rRNA
Rfam family: Archaeal small subunit ribosomal RNA
Source: RNAcentral